UAGGGAAUCUUCGGCAAUGGGGGGAACCCUGACCGAGCAACGCCGCGUGAGUGAAGAAGGUUUUCGGAUCGUAAAGCUCUGUUGUUAAGGAAGAACGAGUGUGAGAAUGGAAAGUUCAUGCUGUGACGGUACUUAACCAGAAAGGGACGGCUAACUACGUGCCAGCAGCCGCGGUAAUACGUAGGUCCCGAGCGUUGUCCGGAUUUAUUGGGCGUAAAGCGAGCGCAGGCGGUUAGAAAAGUCUGAAGUGAAAGGCAGUGGCUCAACCAUUGUAGGCUUUGGAAACUGUUUAACUUGAGUGCAGAAGGGGAGAGUGGAAUUCCAUGUGUAGCGGUGAAAUGCGUAGAUAUAUGGAGGAACACCGGUGGCGAAAGCAGCUCUCUGGUCUGUAACUGACGCUGAGGCUCGAAAGCGUGGGGAGCGAACAGG
Molecule: ribosomal RNA, 429 nt
Filed under: Bacteroidota bacterium
Lineage: Bacteria; Pseudomonadati; Bacteroidota
Description: Bacteroidetes bacterium partial 16S ribosomal RNA
Rfam family: Bacterial small subunit ribosomal RNA
Source: RNAcentral